This 220-nucleotide ribosomal RNA is filed under the name Staphylococcus aureus. RNAcentral describes it as "partial 16S ribosomal RNA". It matches the Rfam family "Bacterial small subunit ribosomal RNA", at positions 1324 to 1533 of the family's 1533-position model. Lineage: Bacteria; Bacillati; Bacillota; Bacilli; Caryophanales; Staphylococcaceae. The record is from RNAcentral.
AGCUGGAAUCGCUAGUAAUCGUAGAUCAGCAUGCUACGGUGAAUACGUUCCCGGGUCUUGUACACACCGCCCGUCACACCACGAGAGUUUGUAACACCCGAAGCCGGUGGAGUAACCUUUUAGGAGCUAGCCGUCGAAGGUGGGACAAAUGAUUGGGGUGAAGUCGUAACAAGGUAGCCGUAUCGGAAGGUGCGGCUGGAUCACCUCCUUUCUAAGGAGA